RNAcentral lists this long non-coding RNA (989 nucleotides) under Lathyrus oleraceus (garden pea). RNAcentral describes it as "Pisum sativum (pea) long non-coding RNA (PSAT_LNC008032)". Lineage: Eukaryota; Viridiplantae; Streptophyta; Magnoliopsida; Fabales; Fabaceae. The record is from RNAcentral.
GAAAGCGACUUUGUGCUGCCACAACCUACACGAAAGGAUUAUUAAUGAAUUAGGAUUAAGCUACCACGAUUAUGAUAUAAAGCCAACCAUUGAAUUUCAUGAAUAGAAAACAGUAAAAAGCUCAAUCUUUUCUUUUGAUGGUUUGGUUGUAGGAUUGUAGGUAGAUAGCUCUAUUAGAAAGCUAAGCUACCUUUUCAUUGUAACCACUAGUGAGACCCUUUUGUAAUAGUUUUGUGUCCUCACUUUGAAGCAAAAAAUUGACCCUAUAAUUAGUCACUAAUUAAGGGUUUUUGUCUCUUUCUAUAAUUAAGUUUAGUUUUUCAAUCGUGAUCAUGUAUAUGGGGACCAUUGAGGUGGUGGCAAUGGAAGAUUGACAAGGAGGGAAUCAAUAAAGAAGGCUACACACCAAGGGUUGCCAUUCUUUGAAACGAAUGUUAUGAUUAUUAUUGGCAUUAUAUUGACUUUAGAUGCAAACAAAGGAUGUUGAUAUUGCCUUUCAAAGAUGAGGUGCUAAAUCAAUAUAUGUUCUUUACUUUUCCUUUCUUUUGUUGAAAAAUAGUUUAAUACUUUUGGAUUAUGGGUAUUCAAUUUAGAUGCUUGGACAUUUCAAAUUUAGAAUGAUCACUUCUUUUGAUUACAACUAAUUAUAAUGGAUUAGCCAACAAGUAAAUGAGAUAUUUUGUUGUUUCAAAUUCUAUAUGUAGUUUAGAAGAAAAUAGAAAUCAAACUAUGUGAUAUCAUGAAAUAGAAGAUUGUAUUGGACACUUCAAUGGGAGGACAUUCAAAGUGUUAGAAAAGAGAAAUAGAGAAAACAAAAGUAUUAUGUGUAUUGAGGAUUUAUCCUACAAAAUCAAAAAAAUCGGGGAGUUAUUCUGAAAAUAUCCGGUACAAAACUUUUUAGAAAAGGCAAAAUGUAUGCAAUUUUAUUGGAUUUUUUAAGCACCGGUAUGUAUUAUUCUCGAUUUUUUGUGUGAAAAAUUUGGUAUUUU